Non-coding RNA from Ciona intestinalis (vase tunicate), 204 nucleotides. Lineage: Eukaryota; Metazoa; Chordata; Ascidiacea; Phlebobranchia; Cionidae. The record is from RefSeq and is a predicted model, not a curated record.
AGUAUGUUUCUAAAUGCUGCGGAAUUGCUGCAAUAUGUUGAAGAAAAUAAUUUGUGGGGCGUGAAUGGUGAACAAGAAAAAAUUGAUAGACUUUCUGAAUUGUUGAGAGAGAUUGGAAGAAAUGAUCUUGCAAGGAUGGUUGAAAACGAUAAUCGUUAAUCCACCCCCCUUUUGUCGCAAACACAUUGAAGAUGAACGUUGAUU